UGAGAACAGCCUUUUGCAUUACAUGGGA
This 28-nucleotide non-coding RNA is filed under the name Homo sapiens (human). The record is from RNAcentral. Lineage: Eukaryota; Metazoa; Chordata; Mammalia; Primates; Hominidae.